RNAcentral lists this ribosomal RNA (312 nucleotides) under uncultured eukaryote. RNAcentral's name for it is "partial 18S ribosomal RNA". It matches the Rfam family "Eukaryotic small subunit ribosomal RNA", at positions 1470 to 1796 of the family's 1831-position model. The record is from RNAcentral.
CCCUUAGAUGUCCUGGGCCGCACGCGCGCUACAAUGAUAAAUUCAGAAUGUAUUUCCUGUCCUGGAAAGGUUCGGGUAAUCAUUAUAGUAUUUAUCGUGUUAGGGAUCGAUCUUUGCAAUUAUAGAUCUUGAACGAGGAAUGCCUAGUAAGUGCAGCUCAUCAGGCUGUACUGAUUACGUCCCUGCCCUUUGUACACACCGCCCGUCGCUCCUACCGAUUUCGAGUGUUCAGGUGAACCUUCUGGACUGAAUUCACUAGAGUUCGGGAAGUUAGGUAAAUCUUAACACUUAGAGGAAGGAGAAGUCGUAACA